CCACUGGACGAGGAGGAUCUCGUCUCCUACAUCCUCGUCGGCCUCAACUUCGACUACAACUCGGUUGUCUCCUCCGUUGCUGGGCGUGCAGAUUCAAUCUCAGUCAGCGAGCUAUAUGCUUUGCUCGUUGGCUUUGAGA
This is a small nucleolar RNA of Oryza sativa (Asian cultivated rice), 139 nucleotides long. It matches the Rfam family "Small nucleolar RNA Z247". Rfam says of the family: Z247 is a member of the C/D class of snoRNA which contain the C (UGAUGA) and D (CUGA) box motifs. Most of the members of the box C/D family function in directing site-specific 2'-O-methylation of substrate RNAs. The record is from Rfam. NCBI's taxonomy places the organism in Eukaryota, Viridiplantae, Streptophyta, Magnoliopsida, Poales, Poaceae.